CUCGUAAUCGGAAUGAGUACACUUUAAAUAUUUUAACGAGGAACAAUUGGAGGGCAAGUCUGGUGCCAGCAGCCGCGGUAAUUCCAGCUCCAAUAGCGUAUACUAAAAUUGUUGCGGUUAAAAAGCUCGUAGUUGCAUUUGUGCGCCGCGCUGUCGGUGCACCGCAUCUGCGGUGAUACUGACACGUCUGCGGAGCAUAUCGUCGGUGAAUCUCCGGUCAAACGGAGGUUCAAUAUCAAAAAUCCUAUCGCGGUGCUCUUCAGUGAGUGUCGAGAUGGGCCGACAAUUUUACUUUGAACAAAUUAGAGUGCUUAAAGCGGGCUCAAAAUGCUGCUUGAAUAUUUAGUGCAUGGAAUAAUAGAAUAUGAUCUCGGUUCUAUUUUGUUGGUUUUCAGAACUCCGAGGUAAUGAUUAAUAGGGAUAACUGGGGGCAUUCGUAUUGCGACGUUAGAGGUGAAAUUCUUGGAUCGUCGCAAGACGAACAUCAGCGAAAGCAUUUGCCAAAGGUGUUUUCAUCAAUCAAGAACGAAAGUUAGAGGUUCGAAGGCGAUUAGAUACCGCCCUAGUUCUAACCGUAAAUAUGUCGUCUAGCGAUCCGCCGACGUUACUACAAUGGCUCGGCGGGCAGCUUCCGGGAAACCAAAGAUUUUGGACUCCGGGGGGAGUAUGGUUGCAAAGCUGAAACUUAAAGGAA
Molecule: ribosomal RNA, 694 nt
Filed under: Antispila hydrangifoliella
Lineage: Eukaryota; Metazoa; Arthropoda; Insecta; Lepidoptera; Heliozelidae
Description: SSU rRNA
Rfam family: Eukaryotic small subunit ribosomal RNA
Source: RNAcentral